AAUAAAGUUAGCGUCUUUACCGGAGUCUGAGAGAGAAAGACAAGAGAAACAUUCAAACAUGAGACCAGAAGUUGCCGGGUGUUAUUACGACGAAGAGAAGAAGAGAUAUUUCCCCUUUUUGGGCCGUUCAAAAUUUUCUUCUUUUUCUUCAAUUACGAAACGAAGUCACGACUCAAAGCCUGUCCAGGAAUCUAACUAUCAGAAGAGAACCAAACUAAAAGCAUUGACGCUACUUUCUUCCCGAGAGU
This is a non-coding RNA of Camelina sativa (false flax), 248 nucleotides long. Lineage: Eukaryota; Viridiplantae; Streptophyta; Magnoliopsida; Brassicales; Brassicaceae. The record is from RefSeq and is a predicted model, not a curated record.